RNAcentral lists this transfer RNA (73 nucleotides) under Ganoderma lucidum G.260125-1. RNAcentral describes it as "tRNA-Tyr (GTA) (tRNA-Tyr-GTA-2-1)". It matches the Rfam family "tRNA". From Rfam's summary of the family: Transfer RNA (tRNA) molecules are approximately 80 nucleotides in length. Their secondary structure includes four short double-helical elements and three loops (D, anti-codon, and T loops). Further hydrogen bonds mediate the characteristic L-shaped molecular structure. tRNAs have two regions of fundamental functional importance: the anti-codon, which is responsible for specific mRNA codon recognition, and the 3' end, to which the tRNAs corresponding amino acid is attached (by aminoacyl-tRNA synthetases). tRNAs cope with the degeneracy of the genetic code in two manners: having more than one tRNA (with a specific anti-codon) for a particular amino acid; and 'wobble' base-pairing, i.e. permitting non-standard base-pairing at the 3rd anti-codon position. Lineage: Eukaryota; Fungi; Basidiomycota; Agaricomycetes; Polyporales; Polyporaceae. The record is from RNAcentral.
CCUUCGAUAGCUCAGUUGGAAGAGCGUGAGACUGUAAAUCUCAAUGUCGCUGGUUCGAUCCCGGCUCGAAGGA